RNAcentral lists this long non-coding RNA (476 nucleotides) under Marmota monax (woodchuck). Lineage: Eukaryota; Metazoa; Chordata; Mammalia; Rodentia; Sciuridae. The record is from RNAcentral.
GUUCUCUGGACUGCAAGUGUUCCAGACUGGGUACUCCAGGGGUUGGAAAAACUAUACUAGGCAAAGAACUUGCAUCAAGAUCAGGACUGAAAUACAUUAAUGUGGGUGAUUUAGCUCAAGAAGGGCAGUUAUAUAAUGGCUAUAAAUAAUGAAGAGUAUGAUUGUCCCAUUUUAGAUGAAGAUAGAGUAGUUGUUGAGUUAAAAAACCAAAUAAGAGAAGGUGGAACUAUUGUUGAUUACCAUGGUCGUGAUUUCUUCCCUGAACGCUGGUUUCACGUAGUUUUUGUGUUGAGAACAGAUAACAGUGUAUUGUACAAAAGACUUGAAACAAGGGGUUAUGGUGAGAAGAAAUUAAAAGGUAUCAUGCAGUGUGAGAUUUUUCAAGUUCUUUAUGAAGAAGCCAUAGCAUCCUAAAAAGAAGAAAUUGUGCAUCAACUGUCCAGCAAUAAACCAGAAGAUCUAAAAGAUAAUAUAAA